GCGCUUUCCCGGCGUGGGAGGGGAGGUGGUUGAGAUGGGGGACCGGGGAUUCUAGCGAGCCCCCUCCCCGAAAGUACCGCGGCGACAGGCACACGCCGAGGAAGUCUUUGUGUACGUGUAUGUGUGCGUGCGUGUGGAGCGCGGUGCCAGGCGGAAUGGAAACUACAGGCAGCCUCUGCUAAUGGGCACAAACUCCCGUGUUCUUUCUUACCACGGGCUCCAUGCACAAGAAUGAGACGUCGUCACCCAUACACACACUCACUCAACGCCCGCACGAAAACACGCCAAGGCAUCCACAACUCAGAGCACCCCGCACCCCUCGGCGAACAGCCCCCCAGGACCGGCAAGGCCAGCCCAACAGAGCCCGACGCUGCACACUUUCAAGAGCCAAAGUGGUCGCAAACUCUCUCUAGCCUCCUCCCCACCCACCCACCCCCCCAGCGAAAGCCACGAAACGCAGAAAGGCAGGGCUACUGGCGGACCGCCGCCGAGCCCCGGUCGCGCACACCGGCCGCUGGGGCAAAGUUGCGAGCAGCCCCGCCGCUGUCAGCCCGCACACUCGGGCUUCACGCGCGCGCCGCGAAGAACGCACCAUCGUGGCGGCCGCGGCGCUCGGCGGAGGUGCGGCCGCAGAAGCUGCUCGCCGCGUCCCCGGACCGUGCCCGCAGCUCCCGGCGGCGGCGGCGGCUGAAAUAUGGCUGAGUUAUUAUUCGCCUCCUUCCACCGGGUGGGACCAUGAAAGCACACCUUGGCCCUUGCAUUGAAGACUUGAGAAUAACGGGAAGGAGGUUGCCUGGGGCGUCCCAGGUUCUCCACAACCACGAAUUCAGCACAGAGAUGGGGAAACUUGACCAGAAGUCCAAGGAUUUAUUUCUCAACCAAGUCUAUACUGGAGAUUUAAAAUAUGCCAGUAGAUGGCGCACAGAGCCCUUCCACCAUCGUCCUUACGUGACCCUCCUUACAACAAAAAGACUUCUCUACCAGGAAAAAGAAAAAGAAAACACAACCCGGAAUUCUCCAGGUUCAACUUUGAACAAAGGAAUUUCCACCUUUGUUCCAUUUCCAUUUGUAGCUGUUUUAAUAAGUUCGCUGUUAACAACAAUAAAACUGUGAGAGCAAA
This is an RNA transcript of Mastomys coucha (southern multimammate mouse), 1120 nucleotides long. RefSeq lists it as uncharacterized. The transcript is spliced from 4 exons. The record is from RefSeq and is a predicted model, not a curated record. Lineage: Eukaryota; Metazoa; Chordata; Mammalia; Rodentia; Muridae.